Long non-coding RNA from Humulus lupulus (European hop), 632 nucleotides. RefSeq lists it as uncharacterized. NCBI's taxonomy places the organism in Eukaryota, Viridiplantae, Streptophyta, Magnoliopsida, Rosales, Cannabaceae. The transcript is spliced from 3 exons. The record is from RefSeq and is a predicted model, not a curated record.
GAAAAAAAUCAAGGAAAAUAAAAGAGAAAUGGAAACUUACCUUAAUAUUGUUUGGGGAGACUUUAUGAGAGGAUUUGUGAUAAAGGGGCUAAGAAAGGAGAGAAGAGCCAUUGCUCUUGUGUGUGUGUGUGGCUGCCGUGACCUAGAGAGAGAGAGAGAGAGAGAGAGUGGCGUGUAGAGAUAGAGAGAGAGGAAGAAAGAAAGAAAGGAAGAAGGAAGAAGAAAGUGAAGAGGAACCCCCCUAGAGCUUGAACAAGGGUGUGGAGUUUGUGGUAUUGAUCUUUUGUGUUCUUGAUUCUACAAUCAAGAGAGGUAGCAAAUAGGAUUUCUCUAUGGCACGCGUGGUGACGUGAGGAGUUCUUCAUCAUGGGGUGUAUGGCGUGGGGCAAUCCUAUGGACGAUAAAACGAUCAACGUAGAACGCCAUUUAAAUUAUGUUUUGUUUUAAGGGACUUUUUUUCCUAAAUUAUCAGUGGGACUCUGUUAUUUAACUUAAUUGGUUUUUUUCUUGAACGUUGCAUAAAAACCUAUGUUUUAUUUUAAACUUAUGGCGCCAACUUGCAUGAUUUUAAAUAAGUCCCCCUGAGACUUUAAUAAUGGACGGUAUUCUUUUAUAAGCUAUGUUAUGCGAAA